Molecule: ribosomal RNA, 224 nt
Filed under: Staphylococcus aureus
Lineage: Bacteria; Bacillati; Bacillota; Bacilli; Caryophanales; Staphylococcaceae
Description: partial 16S ribosomal RNA
Rfam family: Bacterial small subunit ribosomal RNA
Source: RNAcentral
UUUAUGGAGAGUUUGAUCCUGGCUCAGGAUGAACGCUGGCGGCGUGCCUAAUACAUGCAAGUCGAGCGAACGGACGAGAAGCUUACUUCUCUGAUGUUAGCGGCGGACGGGUGAGUAACACGUGGAUAACCUACCUAUAAGACUGGGAUAACUUCGGGAAACCGGAGCUAAUACCGGAUAAUAUUUUGAACCGCAUGGUUCAAAAGUGAAAGACGGUCUUGCUG